UACGAAGGGUGCAAGCGUUACUCGGAAUUACUGGGCGUAAAGCGUGCGUAGGUGGUUUGUUAAGUCUGAUGUGAAAGCCCUGGGCUCAACCUGGGAAUUGCAUUGGAUACUGGCAGGCUAGAGUGCGGUAGAGGAUGGCGGAAUUCCCGGUGUAGCAGUGAAAUGCGUAGAGAUCGGGAGGAACAUCUGUGGCGAAGGCGGCCAUCUGGACGGUGACUGACGCUGAGACGCGAAAGCGUGGGGAGCAAACAGG
This 253-nucleotide ribosomal RNA is filed under the name uncultured bacterium. Its description in RNAcentral is "partial 16S ribosomal RNA". It matches the Rfam family "Bacterial small subunit ribosomal RNA", at positions 524 to 776 of the family's 1533-position model. The record is from RNAcentral.